CCCUCCAUGGUGUCAACCACCGCCUUGCACGACCCCGUGGUGAUCACCAUCCCCUUGCACAACCCUCUGGUGGUGCUCACUGUCCCCUUGCACGACCCCAUGGUGCCCACCACGGCCUUGCACAACCCUCACAGCCAUCACUAUCACCUUGCACGACCCCGUGGUGAACACUACCCCCUCGCACGACCCCCUCCGUCGUGCCCACCGUGGCCUUGCACAACCCUCUCCCCCGCAAUGGGUCUCACCACAGCCUUGCACGACCCCGUGGUGCUCACCAUCUCCUUGCAUGACCCACGGUCUCGCACAAGCCCACGGCCUUGCACAACCCUCUGGUGCUCACCAUGGCCUUACACGACCCCGUGAUGUUCACCAUCACCUUGCACAACCCCCCCCGGCGCUCACCAUCCCCGUGGUGGCCUCACACACCCUCGUGGCGCUCACCAUUCACGACCUGCCGGUGCUCGCCCUGGCCUUGCACGCCCCCAGAGUGCUCACCACGGCCUUGCACGACUCCGCGGCGCUCACCACGACCUCGCCCCACCCCCGUGGUGCUCACCAUCCCCUUGCACAACCCCGUGGUGAACACUACCCCCUCACACGACCCCCUCCGUUGUGCCCACCGUGCUCUUGCACGACCCUCCCCCCACCAUGGGUCUCACCACGGCCUUGCACGACCCCCAUGGUGCUCACUAUUCCCUUGCACAACCCCGUGGUCUUGCACGACCCCAUGGUGCCCACCACGGCCUUGCACAACCCCCACGGCCAUCACUAUCACCUUGCACGACCCCGUGGUGCUCACCAUCCCCUUGCACAACCCCGUGGUGAACACUACCCCCUCGCACGACCCCCUCCGUCGUGCCCACCGUGGCCUUGCACAACCCUCUCCCCCGCAAUGGGUCUCACCACAGCCUUGCACGACCCCGUGGUGCUCACCAUCUCCUUGCAUGACCCACGGUCUCGCACAAGCCCACGGCCUUGCACAACCCUCUGGUGCUCACCAUGGCCUUACACGACCCCGUGAUGUUCACCAUCACCUUGCACAACCCCCCCCGGCGCUCACCAUCCCCGUGGUGGCCUCACACACCCUCGUGGCGCUCACCAUUCACGACCUGCCGGUGCUCGCCCUGGCCUUGCACGCCCCCAGAGUGCUCACCACGGCCUUGCACGACUCCGCGGCGCUCACCACGACCUCGCCCCACCCCCGUGGUGCUCACCAUCCCCUUGCACAACCCCGUGGUGAACACUACCCCCUCACACGACCCCCUCCGUUGUGCCCACCGUGGCCUUGCACGACCCUCCCCCCACCAUGGGUCUCACCACGGCCUUGCACGACCCCCGUGGUGCUCACUAUCCCCUUGCACGCCCCACCACGGGCCUUGCACGCCCCUUGCACCCCAGUGCCUGCCCCNNNNNNNNNNNNNNNNNNNNNNNNNNNNNNNNNNNNNNN
This 1447-nucleotide long non-coding RNA is filed under the name Calidris pugnax (ruff). RNAcentral describes it as "lncRNA (ENSCPUG00000000508.1)". Lineage: Eukaryota; Metazoa; Chordata; Aves; Charadriiformes; Scolopacidae. The record is from RNAcentral.